GAGUGUUAAAGUUAUUCCAGCGCAGCCGAGGCCUUGGACUUGAAUAUCUGUUCCCUUCUGCUAGCUUGGUGCAUAUAGCUAAUGAUCGCUAAGAUAUGCCGGCAGAGCUGCGGUCGACGCUUAUGUGUAAAUGCUUAAGGCUGACGGAGGGUCGUCGCAUGUCAAAUAUGCUGACUCUGCAAUCUUCAGUCCCAGUGCACUCUGAUCAUAUAACCGUGCACUCUGGAAAUUGGGUUGUACAUUUGUCUAGAUUCCAUCCAUCGCAGAUGACGAAGAUGCAGAGCGUGACGGAAGAUGAGAAGCUGGCUUAUCAGCGCCAAGGUCUUGCGAGAGCGCCAAAAGCUGAUCCAUACUCUCGACGCAGAGGAUUUUCUCUGCAUUGCAAAGAAAUAGCGACGCGAAGAGUGUAAAGAGUGGGGACAAAUAUGUUCGAAGGCGUUCAUAUGGCAAUCUUGGCGGUUCUAAAGAAGAUUUGCACUAUUCACAGUAAAAGCGAAAUCUUAUUACACUUUUUACUGAUGUCUACGCUUAUUUUAGCUAUAAGUUUAUAGUUAAAACUAUUUUUAUUUGAAGCUUAGGAAAAAACACGUUCAUUCGCUUGGAUUGGCGCUGGAUUCUUUUAUAAUAUUACCAGAAAAUUCAGUGCUGUAUACGAAUAUUGGUGAUUGAGCUAUUAAUGUGAACUAAAACAACUGAGACUAGAAUGAGAGUAGCGAUUUUCUCUACUUUGGGGGUACGCGUAAAAUAUGUAUGCUGGUCAUCCCCAUUAAAAUUUCGUUUUGAUUUUAUCUAACGCAUGACUUACUUUGACCCUUGCAAUCGCGA
This is an RNA transcript of Drosophila biarmipes, 825 nucleotides long. RefSeq lists it as uncharacterized. The record is from RefSeq and is a predicted model, not a curated record. Lineage: Eukaryota; Metazoa; Arthropoda; Insecta; Diptera; Drosophilidae. The transcript is spliced from 4 exons.